CCGCGGUAAUACGUAGGGGGCAAGCGUUAUCCGGAUUUACUGGGUGUAAAGGGAGCGUAGGUGGUUCGGCAAGUCAGAUGUGAAAGCCCGGGGCUCAACCCCGGGACUGCAUUUGAAACUGUCGGACUAGAGUGCAGGAGAGGUAAGUGGAAUUCCUAGUGUAGCGGUGAAAUGCGUAGAUAUUAGGAGGAACACCAGUGGCGAAGGCGGCUUACUGGACUGUAACUGACACUGAGGCUCGAAAGCGUGGGGAGCAAACAGG
RNAcentral lists this ribosomal RNA (262 nucleotides) under uncultured bacterium. RNAcentral describes it as "partial 16S ribosomal RNA". It matches the Rfam family "Bacterial small subunit ribosomal RNA", at positions 515 to 776 of the family's 1533-position model. The record is from RNAcentral.